This is a non-coding RNA of Paramisgurnus dabryanus, 630 nucleotides long. The record is from RefSeq and is a predicted model, not a curated record. NCBI's taxonomy places the organism in Eukaryota, Metazoa, Chordata, Actinopteri, Cypriniformes, Cobitidae.
GCCUGUUGCACAAAAGUAGAAUUAAGACAUCCAGGCUAAAUGACUGAGCUGAGCUCAAUGAAGCCAAAACAAGUGCGUCCACGCUUAAUUGGUUGCACAAAGACCAAGCCAGGAUGAUCAGACACGGAUUCAUCAAGCCAGGUGAAACCAAUCCUGGAUAGGUGCGCGCUCACGGCUCACUCAACUAGACCCCGCCACCGAUCACAGAUUCACCGAUUCACCAUGGCAACUAGCGGCGUUCUUUUCCCCGUCAGAGGCACAAAUCCAUACGAGGAGGUAAAAGACAUAAUUAAAAAAGAAAGGCAACACCGCCACAGUGGUAAAGCAGAGAGAAAAAGCGUGGCAAAGUAUUGCAGACCGCCUGAAUGCGUCAUUUUGCUCAUCAAGAAAAUGCAUCUUAAUUCAAGAAUUUUUGAUAUUUUUACUGAAAACAAGACAACAAAGUAAUUCAUUUUUUGCAGUGUGACUCCAUUGAAUGUUCUUGUGUGUUAAAGAAAGUCUCUCUUUUUGUGUGUGGUGUUGUGUAAUGUAGAUUAAAUAUGACCGGGCCAAAACGGACAUGGCAGCAGGUCAAAAUCAAUAUCUGCAGAAUGCAGUGAAAAAGAAUACCGAGAGACAAGGCACGGGUGG